CCUACGGGAGGCAGCAGUGGGGGAUAUUGCACAAUGGGGGGAACCCUGAUGCAGCGAUGCCGCGUGGGUGAAGAAGCGCCUCGGCGCGUAAAGCCCUGUCAGCAGGGAAGAAAAUGACGGUACCUGAAGAAGAAGCCCCGGCUAACUACGUGCCAGCAGCCGCGGUAAUACGUAGGGGGCAAGCGUUACCCGGAUGGACUGGGUGUAAAGGGGGCGCAGACGGCGAUGCAAGCCAGGAGUGAAAGCCCGGGGCGGAACCCCGGGACUGAUCUUGGAACUGCGUGGCGGGAGGGCAGGUGGGGGAGGCGGAAUGCCUGGUGUAGCGGUGAAAUGCGUAGAUAGCAGGAGGAACACCGAUGGCGAGGGCGGCCUGCUAGACUACUACUGACGUUGAGGACCGAAAGCGUGGGGAGCAAACAGGAUUAGAUACCCCAGUAGUC
This 440-nucleotide ribosomal RNA is filed under the name uncultured bacterium. RNAcentral describes it as "partial 16S ribosomal RNA". It matches the Rfam family "Bacterial small subunit ribosomal RNA", at positions 338 to 795 of the family's 1533-position model. The record is from RNAcentral.